This 754-nucleotide long non-coding RNA is filed under the name Homo sapiens (human). RNAcentral's name for it is "ASB16 antisense RNA 1". Lineage: Eukaryota; Metazoa; Chordata; Mammalia; Primates; Hominidae. The record is from RNAcentral.
GCUGUCUGCCUCCCCGGCUGAUUGGAUUCGUUACUGCUUUGCAACGCGCACCUAACUCCAGGCUGGAGUGCAGUGGCACAAUCUCAGCUUGCUGUGACCUCAGCUCUCUGCGACCUCUGCUUGCUGGACUCAAGCGAUCCUCCCACCACCUCAGCCUCCUGAGUAGCUGGAACCAUCAUAUGCACCAGCACGCCUGGCUAAAGUUUUGCUCUUGUCACCCAGGCUGGAAUGCAAUAGCGUGGUCUUGGCUCACUGCAACCUCCGCCUCCCGGGUUCAAGCAAUUCUCCUGCCUCAGCCUCCUAAGUAGCUGGGACUACAGCUUGAGGUCCUACCUGGUGUCCUCCAUGAGAAUCAUACAAGCCCCGCUACAGACAACAGAAUUGGAAGGUCCUGAGAGCUACCAGAAGCAUCUUCAGUUUUCAUAUGAAAAACUUAAGCCCAGGAGUGAUUUGUGCAGCCAAGGACACACAGCAAGUUAGUGGCUGCACCAGAAAUAGUACUCACUGCCUCAGACAGUCCCUCCCACAGUCUACUCUGUCUCCACCCCAAGGUCUGGUUCUGAAUCAUUCAGUUGUCAGUUGUCUCCUUUUUUUUUUUUUUUUUUGGAGACAGGGUCUCUCUCUGUGGCCCAGGCUGAAGUGCAGUGGUGUGAUUACAGCUCAUGUAGCCUGGACCUCCCAAGCUCAAGCAAUCCUCCUGCCUCUGCCUCCCAAGUAGCUGGGACCACAGGUGGGCAGCACCACACCUGGCUAA